Molecule: unclassified non-coding RNA, 278 nt
Filed under: Hevea brasiliensis (rubber tree)
Lineage: Eukaryota; Viridiplantae; Streptophyta; Magnoliopsida; Malpighiales; Euphorbiaceae
Source: RNAcentral
CGUCUGUUUCGAGUAAGAGGAAGAAGAAGGGACACGCUUGGUACGAAACAUCAUGUAACCGACAGGUAAAACCACUCCUAUAAUCAUUAUCGCUGCCCCAAUUAUGUAUCUUAACGGACUCGGCGGCUCCACCUCCAUUAUUCUCCGGUAAGGCAGUUUUCUUCAAUGUUCUCUUUGUUUGGAUGGUGCAGCUUCAAGCGAUCGAGAGUAACUGCGAAUAGGAAGCAAGGACUGGGGAAUCCGCUUGCUUGGUACUUGCACUUCAAUGGCGAUUUCUA